RNAcentral lists this ribosomal RNA (394 nucleotides) under uncultured bacterium. RNAcentral's name for it is "bacterial SSU rRNA". It matches the Rfam family "Bacterial small subunit ribosomal RNA", at positions 362 to 756 of the family's 1533-position model. The record is from RNAcentral.
UAUUGCCCAAUGGAAGAAAGUCUGACGGAGUGACGCCGCGUGGCGGAUGAAGGUUUUAGGAUUGUAAACCCCGUUGGGCAGGGAAGAUGGAACGGGUAACCGUUCGGACGGUACCUGCAGAAGCAGCCCCGGCUAACUUCGUGCCAGCAGCCGCGGUAAUACGAAGGUGGCAAGCGUUGUUCGGAUUCACUGGGCGUACAGGGAGCGUAGGCGGUUGGGUAAGCCCUCCGUGAAAUCUCCGGGCCUAACCCGGAAAGUGCAGAGGGGACUGCUCGGCUAGAGGAUGGGAGAGGAGCGCGGAAUUCCCGGUGUAGCGGUAAAUGCGUAGAGAUCGGGAGGAAGGCCGGUGGCGAAGGCAGGCGCUCUGGAUAUAAUUUCUGACGCUCAGGCUCGA